GCGGCGUAGCUCAGUUGGUAGAGCGCGGAUCUUAUAAGUCCUGGGUCGCGGGUUCGAGUCCCGUCGCCGCCA
Molecule: transfer RNA, 72 nt
Filed under: Streptomyces cylindrosporus
Lineage: Bacteria; Bacillati; Actinomycetota; Actinomycetes; Kitasatosporales; Streptomycetaceae
Description: tRNA-Ile
Rfam family: tRNA
About the family: Transfer RNA (tRNA) molecules are approximately 80 nucleotides in length. Their secondary structure includes four short double-helical elements and three loops (D, anti-codon, and T loops).
Source: RNAcentral